GGGUUGUGAGGUUAAGCGAACAAGCGUACACGGUGGAUGCCCUGGCAGUCAGAGGCGAUGAAGGACGUGCUAAUCUGCGAAAAGCGCCGGUAAGGUGAUAUGAACCGUUAUAACCGGCGAUGUCCGAAUGGGGAAACCCGGUGCACUUCGGUGCAUCAUCGUUAGCUGAAUACAUAGGCUAACGAGGCGAACCGGGGGAACUGAAACAUCUAAGUACCCCGAGGAAAAGAAAUCAACCGAGAUUCCCCCAGUAGCGGCGAGCGAACGGGGAACAGCCCAGAGCCUGAAUCAGCUUGUGUGUCAGUGGAACGGUCUGGAAAGGCCGGCGAUACAGGGUGACAGCCCCGUACACGAAGGCACACAGGCUGUGAGCUCGAUGAGUAGGGCGGGACACGUGAUAUCCUGUCUGAAGAUGGGGGGACCAUCCUCCAAGGCUAAAUACUCCUGACUGACCGAUAGUGAACCAGUACCGUGAGGGAAAGGCGAAAAGAACCCCGGCGAGGGGAGUGAAACAGAACCUGAAACCGUGUACGUACAAGCAGUGGGAGCCUUCGUAAGAGGGUGACUGCGUACCUUUUGUAUAAUGGGUCAGCGACUUAUAUUCUGUAGCAAGGUUAACCGUAUAGGGGAGCCGAAGGGAAACCGAGUCUUAACCGGGCGUUAAGUUGCAGGGUAUAGACCCGAAACCCGGUGAUCUAGCCAUGGGCAGGUUGAAGGUUGGGUAACACUAACUGGAGGACCGAACCGACUAAUGUUGAAAAAUUAGCGGAUGACCUGUGGCUGGGGGUGAAAGGCCAAUCAAACCGGGAGAUAGCUGGUUCUCCCCGAAAGCUAUUUAGGUAGCGCCUCGUGAAUUCAUCUCCGGGGGUAGAGCACUGUUUCGGCUAGGGGGCCAUCCCGGCUUACCAACCCGAUGCAAACUGCGAAUACCGGAGAAUGUUAUCACGGGAGACACACGGCGGGUGCUAACGUCCGUCGUGAAGAGGGAAACAACCCAGACCGCCAGCUAAGGUCCCAAAGUCAUGGUUAAGUGGGAAACGAUGUGGGAAGGCCCAGACAGCCAGGAUGUUGGCUUAGAAGCAGCCAUCAUUUAAAGAAAGCGUAAUAGCUCACUGGUCGAGUCGGCCUGCGCGGAAGAUGUAACGGGGCUAAACCAUGCACCGAAGCUGCGGCAGCGACACUAUGUGUUGUUGGGUAGGGGAGCGUUCUGUAAGCCUGUGAAGGUGUGCUGUGAGGCAUGCUGGAGGUAUCAGAAGUGCGAAUGCUGACAUAAGUAACGAUAAAGCGGGUGAAAAGCCCGCUCGCCGGAAGACCAAGGGUUCCUGUCCAACGUUAAUCGGGGCAGGGUGAGUCGACCCCUAAGGCGAGGCCGAAAGGCGUAGUCGAUGGGAAACAGGUUAAUAUUCCUGUACUUGGUGUUACUGCGAAGGGGGGACGGAGAAGGCUAUGUCGGCCGGGCGACGGUUGUCCCGGUUUAAGCGUGUAGGCUGACUUUCCAGGCAAAUCCGGAAGGUUAAGGCUGAGGCGUGAUGACGAGGCACCACGGUGCUGAAGUGACAAAUGCCCUGCUUCCAGGAAAAGCCUCUAAGCAUCAGGUAACAUCAAAUCGUACCCCAAACCGACACAGGUGGUCAGGUAGAGAAUACCAAGGCGCUUGAGAGAACUCGGGUGAAGGAACUAGGCAAAAUGGUGCCGUAACUUCGGGAGAAGGCACGCUGACAUGUAGGUGAAGCCCCUGCGGGUGGAGCUGAAGUCAGUCGAAGAUACCAGCUGGCUGCAACUGUUUAUUAAAAACACAGCACUGUGCAAACACGAAAGUGGACGUAUACGGUGUGACGCCUGCCCGGUGCCGGAAGGUUAAUUGAUGGGGUUAUCGCAAGAGAAGCUCCUGAUCGAAGCCCCGGUAAACGGCGGCCGUAACUAUAACGGUCCUAAGGUAGCGAAAUUCCUUGUCGGGUAAGUUCCGACCUGCACGAAUGGCGUAAUGAUGGCCAGGCUGUCUCCACCCGAGACUCAGUGAAAUUGAACUCGCUGUGAAGAUGCAGUGUACCCGCGGCAAGACGGAAAGACCCCGUGAACCUUUACUACAGCUUGACACUGAACAUUGAGCCUUGAUGUGUAGGAUAGGUGGGAGGCUUUGAAGCGUGGACGCCAGUCUGCGUGGAGCCGACCUUGAAAUACCACCCUUUAAUGUUUGAUGUUCUAACCUGGCGCCGUGAUCCGGCGUGGGGACAGUGUCUGGUGGGUAGUUUGACUGGGGCGGUCUCCUCCCAAAGUGUAACGGAGGAGCACGAAGGUCAGCUAAUCCUGGUCGGACAUCAGGAGGUUAGUGCAAUGGCAUAAGCUGGCUUGACUGCGAGAGUGACGGCUCGAGCAGGUGCGAAAGCAGGUCAUAGUGAUCCGGUGGUUCUGUAUGGAAGGGCCAUCGCUCAACGGAUAAAAGGUACUCCGGGGAUAACAGGCUGAUACCGCCCAAGAGUUCAUAUCGACGGCGGUGUUUGGCACCUCGAUGUCGGCUCAUCACAUCCUGGGGCUGAAGUAGGUCCCAAGGGUAUGGCUGUUCGCCAUUUAAAGUGGUACGCGAGCUGGGUUUAGAACGUCGUGAGACAGUUCGGUCCCUAUCUGCCGUGGGCGCUGGAGAAUUGAGGGGGGCUGCUCCCAGUACGAGAGGACCGGAGUGGACGCAUCACUGGUGUUCGGGUUGUCAUGCCAAUGGCACUGCCCGGUAGCUAAAUGCGGAAGAGAUAAGUGCUGAAAGCAUCUAAGCACGAAACUUGCCCCGAGAUGAGUUCUCCCUGAGACU
RNAcentral lists this ribosomal RNA (2803 nucleotides) under Cronobacter sakazakii. Its description in RNAcentral is "bacterial LSU rRNA". It matches the Rfam family "Bacterial large subunit ribosomal RNA". Lineage: Bacteria; Pseudomonadati; Pseudomonadota; Gammaproteobacteria; Enterobacterales; Enterobacteriaceae. The record is from RNAcentral.